CUGAGUCGGCCGCGCCCAAGUCCAUUGGAACAUGGCGCCUGGGAGGGUGAGAGCCCCGUAUGGCGCACGCCGACUCUUUGUACACCGCGGCUCCGACGAGUCGAGUUGUUUGGGAAUGCAGCUCUAAGUGGGUGGUAAAUUCCAUCUAAAGCUAAAUAUUGGCGAGAGACCGAUAGCGAACAAGUACAGUGAUGGAAAGAUGAAAAGCACUUUGAAAAGAGAGUGAAACAGCACGUGAAAUUGUUGAAAGGGAAGGGCUUGCAAGCAGACACGGUUUUACCGGGCCAGCGUCGAAAAGGGGGGAGGAACAAGAACUCGAGAAUGUGGCGCGCACCUUCGGGCGCGCGUGUUAUAGCUCGUGUUGACGCCUCCAUCCCUUUUCGAGGCCUGCGAUUCUAGGACGCUGGC
RNAcentral lists this ribosomal RNA (408 nucleotides) under Clavispora lusitaniae. Its description in RNAcentral is "eukaryotic LSU rRNA". It matches the Rfam family "Eukaryotic large subunit ribosomal RNA", at positions 166 to 630 of the family's 3401-position model. Lineage: Eukaryota; Fungi; Ascomycota; Pichiomycetes; Serinales; Metschnikowiaceae. The record is from RNAcentral.